UAUAUGUGUCGGGAACUAUUUAUAUAUAGGUAUACAAAUAUCUAAGUAUUCAUAUACAUUUAUGCAUAUAUGUAUAUAAAUACCUAUAUACAAGUAUAAAAAUAUCUAUUUGCAUAUAUGCAUACAUAUGUAAAACUAUAUAUGUAUUCAUAUACCAAAGUACCUGUAUAUGCAUUGUAUAUAAAAUAUCUAUGUAUAUAUGCAUAUGUAUAUAAAAAUAUCUAUCUAUAUAUAUGACUGUAUAAUUAUGUGUAUGUGUCUACAUAUAUGUAUGUGUGUACGUGUAUAUCUAUGUUUGUAUGUGUGUAUAAAGCAAAACUUCGUGCAAAUGUAUAUUAAACAUCUAUAUGUGUUGUGUCUUUUCUUUAAACGUAGCCAGGUUUGAGUUUAUUAAAAUGUCUAAUUAUUAAGUAAAUUUUGUACAGUAAUUGUACUAAAAUAAAUAAAGGUAUAUGAUUAAGAAAUGGUAGCUUUCUUAAAUCUGUAUAUUUAAUUUAAAAAGUAAUUUUUUAUUUUAGAAAUAUACUAACAUGAGGUGAUAUUAAACAAAAUGUGCUGGAAUUUGAAAAGAAGACAUAAACAGCCUCUGCCCUACUUUCUUGAAUUGGUGCUUAUAAUAAUUAGUAUCACUUCACUGCAAAUAUCUUUACAAUUAUAAUAUACUAAUGUAAUAAUGCAUUCAUAAUAUACUAGGAUAACAAUUUUUUAACUACUUAUACUUAGUCAUCUAAAGUUAGUUAGUAAUACAACCUUGUUAUUUUGAAGAUGUCAUAUUUUGUAGCUACUUGAAGGUUUUUCUAUACUUUUGUGUAAAAAUGGGUUGCCAUUGUUAGUUUGGAUUUUCCAAGAGCUUCAGGCUAUAUAUUUUAUUUUUUUAAUUUAAAAAAAAAAAAAGGAAAUCUGUCAGAAAUAAUUAUCCUGAAAUUAUUGGAAAGAAAGCCAGAAAAACAGGAUAAUUUCUUCCACUUUACUUGACGUGGUGUUUAAUUUCGACUUGUGACAUUUUUUUGUGUGAAAAGUAGUCAAAUUAUUCCCAGUUGAUCCACAGUGAAUUGCCUUUAUUUUAUAUAAACCUUUGCAUAUCUGGAAGUGGAUAUCCCAAGCAACUCUUUUAGUGGAAACACAGUAAAUGAUUGUUAUUAUUGUUAUUUUUUUUUAAGAAUUUACAAAAUGUGAUUACUUAAUAUUUUUUUAAAAAUUAAUAACUAUAUUGAUAUCAGUUCUCUAAUUUUUUUUUAAAGAAUAUACAUCCCUUCCUUUAAACACUUUAAUCUUUUUUUUUAAGUUUUCCAGGAAAAUUGAUUUUUUUUUCUUUUUCUGUUAGCAAAUUUUGAUUCUGAAUAUGCAACUAACAUGGUAUAUUAAAGUGGUAAAUUGUCAGAUUAUAGUCUAAUUAGGUUGUCUAAUCUGUGAUCAUUUUAGAUUAAUAUCACUUUAUGUUUCAUUUAUAUUUUUCAUUAUUCAUUUUUAUAUUUAUACUUUGUUAUAAACAAACAAAAUUAAGUAGUCUAUCGAAAACAAGUUUUGGGGAGAAAAUAUUUUCAUUUGGCUAUUUGCUUUAUAAUCUUAUUCUAUUUGCUCAAUAUUUUAUUUCCCCCCUGCCUAAAUUUUCAGAUGUAGAUUUACUUCAUACUAGUAAAGCCACUAGUUGAUAUAAUAAAGUCUUGGUAUAAAUUAUAUAUAUAUAUAUGACAUAUACUAGUGUCUAUUUGGAAAAUACUUUUAGUAUUUGUUUCUGGUUUUAUACAAUAAAUGCAAGGCACUAACAAAAGUUUAUAGCAACUUACAAUAGAAGUGUAGUUACAAUAUUUUCAUAAUUUUCUUUCUAUUAUUAAUUUCUAAAUUGAUAUUUUUUCAUUGGUAAAAUAUUUUCUGUCAAUUUUCUUUUGAUCUCUAGAAAUUAAUUCAUUUUAAAAUAAAGAAGAAAAAAAAUUCUUUUACACUGAUUGUUUUGCAAUAAAGUUUCACUUAAUGAAUCUUAUUUCAGAAUAAUAAAAUAUAGAUUUUUUUUUUUUUUUUGAAAUGAAUUGUUGAUACAAUAAUUUUUAUUGUCACAUACAGUAAAUUAAAGAGAAAAAAAAAAAAAAAAGAGAAGAAAAAAAAAAAUCAUUGAAUUAAUUUUGUUUGUCUAUUUUGUGUUCCAUUAAAUAUUUUAGACUGAUAGAGAUAACAUAUUAGGGCUUUUGUUUCUUUCAUAUAGCAUAGUUUUAAUGUUAAACAAAAAAAAGUCAGUAAUUGUUUCUCUUAACUAGAACUGCUAUAAAUGUUUCAUUACUUUGGGACUGUCACAUUUAAUAUGUAGCGUACAACUCUAACAUUUCCUAAUUUUAUCAACAACAUCACAACCAUGCCUAAUUCAAAAAUAAACAUUCAUCUUUGGCUUCAUAAAUUAACACAAUCUUAAUUUUUUCUUUUUUCAGUAUUACUAAAAUGUUUCGUCAAGGAUAAAAAAUAAAAAAUAUUCGAAUAUGUUUGUGUAGAUAGAUGCAUCCAAAUAUUUCAUUGAGUUAUUUCAAAGUUGAAUUCUAUUCAACCGCUUAAUUGUUUUAUCAAUUAUGAUCCAUCUUGCAAAACUAAAUGUAUUCAAAUCAGAAUAAAGCCCUUGUUAUUGUGAUAAAUUUCAUACUUUUAAGCUUGUUUAAUUACACUCAUGAAAUUUAUUAUAUUAUAUGACAACACAAAGUAGCAACAAUAUAUUUGUAUGCAUUCUUCAUUGUUUUCCACCAGAAUUAGUUGUCACCAUAGAUUUAAUAACAACAAACACUUGUUUGAUGGUUAUGGUUUUAAUUUCACAGAAAUACUGUAAAAAUGUGUGUGUGUGUGUGUGUGUUAAUAGGUAUGUGUGCAUAAAACAUUUUAAAAAUCUAUUCUGCAUCUAUUUCCAUGCUAGGUGAUUUUUAUUGUACUUAUGUUCAGAGACAAAACCAAAAUUAUGAUCAGUAUUUAAAAUUUCUACAAACGCAUACAUGAAACAAAAAACAUAUCUACAAACAUAAUAAAUGUAUAUGUGUUUAUGUAUGUAUAUAUAUAUAUAUAUAUAUAUAUAUAUACGCAUACACAUAUGUGUCUGUGUAUGUGGUGAUAUAUAUGUGAGUGUGAUAUAUGAUACAUAUAUACAUCAUCUGACACAUGGAAAUGUGGACGUAAAAAUAAUGACAUGAUAUAUAUAUGUGGUGGAUACAUAUAUAUAUGUGUGAAAUAAACAUUUAUAUAUGAGAUACAUAUAUAAAUAGAUGAUAUAUAUAUAUUGAUAUAUAUGAUAUAUAUUGUGUAUGGUAUUAUAUAUAUAUGAAAUAUAUAUUGAUAUAUAUGAUAUACAUUAUAUAUGGUGUUAUAUAUAUAUAUAAAAUAUAUACAGAUAUAUAUAUAUAUAAAACAUAGGUGAUAUAUAUGUGAUUAUACUAUUUAUGAUAUAUGUAUGAUAUAGAUGCACGUAUGUAUGUAUAUACAAAAUAUAUAUGCAUGCAUAUAUAUGUGUAUAUAUAUAUAUAUAUGUAGUGAUGUAUAUGGUGGAAGAUAUAUGUGAUUAAAGUGCAUAUAUUUUUGUAUGUGUGUGUGUGCAUACAUACACAUGUAUAGCUAUCUAUAUACAUUAUAAAUAUAUAAACACAGACACAUGCACAUAAUACACAACAAAUGUUGCCCUCUUCUUGAAAGAGUUAACAAUUCCAUUCCAGUUUUUCUGUUCAUCAUUCUUUAAAGUAAAUCAAAGCAGAUGCCUCAUCUUGUUCCCAUACAAACAUUUCAUUUUUAUCUUGUGCAUCGAGAUAUCAUUUUCUGUUAGAAUUUUCAUUUUGACAACACUCCACAUUUUCUCUACAUUGUAACGGUUUAGUUUUUCACAAAGAUAUUUUAAUAUUUAUUUUUCUUUUUAAGUACUAUAAUAUUUAUUUUUGUUUACUAAAAAAAUUUCUAUUGGGAUAACUUGUUUGUCAUCAAACAGGUUAUUCUGAUGCUAUUUCCAUCCUUUACUGUUGUUUAGACAAAUUGGAUGCCUUUUUAUUCCCGAUCAAGAUAGCUUAUUCCUACUUGUCUGGGAUUAAAGCUUCAUAUUAAUUUAUUUAUUAAUACAUCUACUAUUACUAAGAAGAAAUGCUUAUCCUCUGACUCCCCCACCCUGCCUGAACUUAUUUUUACAAAUAUACAUUUUUAUUUAAUUUUCCAAGUUAUAUUUCGUGUUACUGUAAAUACAUUUAUUAUUAGUAUGAACUUGCAAGA
RNAcentral lists this long non-coding RNA (4218 nucleotides) under Octopus vulgaris (common octopus). The record is from RNAcentral. Lineage: Eukaryota; Metazoa; Mollusca; Cephalopoda; Octopoda; Octopodidae.